CCCUUAGACGUUCUGGGCCGCGCGCGCGCUACACUGACCGGUGCAACAAGCAUCCGUCCUUGGCCGACAGGCCCGGGCAAUCUUUGAACGCCGGUCGUGAUGGGGAUAGACUUUUGCAAUUUUUGGUCUUCAACGAGGAAUUCCUAGUAAACGCAAGUCAUCAACUUGCAUUGAUUACGUCCCUGCCCUUUGUACACACCGCCCGUCGCACCUACCGAUUGAAUGGUCCGGUGAAGCCUCCGGAUUGGCGCGCACCUCGGUGCCGCCGAGAAGUUGGCUAAACCUUACCAUUUAGAGGAAGGUGAAGUCGUAACA
RNAcentral lists this ribosomal RNA (315 nucleotides) under uncultured eukaryote. RNAcentral's name for it is "partial 18S ribosomal RNA". It matches the Rfam family "Eukaryotic small subunit ribosomal RNA", at positions 1470 to 1796 of the family's 1831-position model. The record is from RNAcentral.